RNAcentral lists this long non-coding RNA (1300 nucleotides) under Erythranthe guttata (spotted monkey flower). RNAcentral describes it as "long non-coding RNA (EGUT_LNC000151)". Lineage: Eukaryota; Viridiplantae; Streptophyta; Magnoliopsida; Lamiales; Phrymaceae. The record is from RNAcentral.
CGAGAGACGUAAACUACACUAGGCUAACUAUACUGUGGGUAAGAGGAAGGGGAUACGAACCUCGCGCAAUUGAUGCGAUUCAUCCGACGAAGAUUGUUUCUUGGCCUGUAAUUUGUUGAUGCCUUACACAGAAAUUCAUAUAUUUUAGCGAGAAGAUAGAGAGAUAGAGAGGGACUCGUAUGGUUGUCCGUCUCUCUAAUCGACCUUUGCCAUGAAGGGUGCGCUCGCAUGGCAGGUCACCUACUCAAUAAAAUAUUAUUUUUUGUGUCGGAGGGGAGAUGGCACGGCGAUUUGGCCCGGCUCACCCCUCCGUGUGUGUGUUCUCUUUUUUUUCUUUUCGUUUCAGUCACACUCAUAUAUAGUCAUAUACAGCCAGUCACCCAACACACUUAAAUUAUCAGCAACUCAACAGACACGUCCGAUAUCGAUUGAGUUUGGUUACAACUAUCUUAACCAACACCAUACCCAAAAAUCACCAAAACAUUCGAGUAAAUUCAACGAGCAGGCGUAUUUCUUCUCGACAUCAACUGCGCACAGAGGUACAUUUUUUAGCAUGAUUUUAUACCAAAGUAAAUUCAACUAGCAGAACGAAUGAUUGUUUGUUGCAAAUUAUAGCAUUUUACACAAGCAAGCUUUAUUUUAGUGUUUCUGUGUUGAUUUGUACUCUUAAUCUAAAUUUCCAUUCAACUGCAGUUAAUUUAUUAUACCAGUUCAAUUUGUUCAUGUUUCUUUAGUUCAGCAAUUUAAUUUAGUUUAUAUUUAUUUUCUAGUUUAGUUUCGUUUGUACGACGGUCGUUGCUUUAUUUUAGCGGAAUUUUUCUAAUAAACGGGAGUUUUUUAAUGUCUCAUCGUGUAUUUUGGCUUGCAACGUUUAAUUACAGGUCUUUAAUGCAUAUAUUUUUCAUUUGAUUAUCUGUUGGAAUGUGUCUAAUGUUCGUAUUUUUCUUGUUUUCCGAUACAUUAUACAGAGUCUCUUAAGUUUGGGUAAAAGUAAAACCGAUUUCCAAGCGGUCGAGGAUGCACUUGGUUGAUUGGUUGCACUGCGAGAGUUAUAUAUAUUACCGGACUCGGUUUCAUUAAACCGAUGGCUCCCUUGCCUUAGGUGAAGAUGUGUUUCGGAAUUUAUUUGGAUCGGAAUAGAAAGUUGUGCUGGAACUUGGAAUGCAUGUUCUACUAUUGAAAAUGUGUUUCGGAAUUUAUUUGGAUCAGAAUAAAAACAUAUGUAUAAGGUUUUGAUUUUUGAUUCGAUAUUAAUUUUCAAAAAUAAAUUCAAAAAAUUCUAUUAUUUCUUCGACAAUUA